Long non-coding RNA from Betta splendens (Siamese fighting fish), 1656 nucleotides. RefSeq lists it as uncharacterized. The transcript is spliced from 2 exons. The record is from RefSeq and is a predicted model, not a curated record. NCBI's taxonomy places the organism in Eukaryota, Metazoa, Chordata, Actinopteri, Anabantiformes, Osphronemidae.
ACAAAAACCACCAGCUACAUGUAGAAACAAUGACACACUCUUAGUUGAAACUAAGUCACUAAGUCACAAAAACAGCUGUUAUCUUUAUUGCAAGUGGCCUGAAUUAAUUUUAUAAGAAAGAUAUAAGGCUGCAGUUAAAUGUGUCUACAUAAUAAAGGGACACCGCACUUCUCAGUCUGUAUAAAUAAUUGCGUGUUCAUCAUCGUCGUCGUCCUCCUCCACCUCCUCCUCAUCGUCAUCACGCGAUCAGACUGUCAUGCUGCAUCCUUGGUACGUGCACAGCCUCACUCUGCUCAUGGCAACGCUGUACACAAGCAAGCCGAGUUCAACCACUCCACGGCGGAGGGGUAGCAGGGCUCUUUGUCUAAACGGCUCAAAGCGCGCGUGUCGCCGCUCCAGCCGUGGCCGUUGCAUCACGUGUAGACCAUUUAAGGGCAAAGGAACCCGUGUGGCAUCGACGUUUGCGAUAGAUAGUCAGUCAGGACAGGAAACUGUUAACACGCACAAUGGUUCAUUCCUAAUGUACGACGUGCAAAACUGAACGCGCCGCACCCCAACUAUAACUCUAAGCCUCAACUCCUCGUGCUGGUUUCGUAGGGCCCGCCCCCCGGUGGCGGUUAUUUGCCAGUGAAGCUAUGUGGGCGUGCUUUUGAGCUUAAGCACGGCUCCCUAUUGGCCGCGCGCGAUGUCGGUCCUAUUUAAAUUUGCAUAACCAGGUCGGGUUGCAGACGCAGAGGAGUGGGCAGGGUAGGGGUAAAGCAAGUGUACUGAACUUCUGCGUCGGUGUAGGCUAUACUAUACUCUCCAACGCAGCCAACUUUAAACGCACCGUGAUUUCCUUCUGAGAAAAAAACCUCCAAGCAUGCUCGCUCUUACAGCAAACAGGGGCCCCAGAGCGGAAAUUGAAUACUUCGUCUGUUAAAAGAAUAUUCCCAAAAGAAAACUUAGGUCUGAUUGCAGAACACAUUGUGCGCUGGAUGGCUGACAGUAUAAUAUUUGAGCUCUAAAAGCAGGUAAGCCACUGACUAACGCACAUUGUGCCAAUUGCCAUAUCCACUGUGCGUGUGACAGCGGCUAACCUGGUUUUGGGAAUACCUCUGGUUAUUUUGGCCCGGGUCGGAGCUGAUAGACCCCUAUCGACAAGCAGUGCCUGACCUGAACCGUGCACAUUGCUUGGACAGACCUGCUCAACGUGACCGCCCUCCCUAUAAAAGUAGCCCACUUCCUCCUGUGUUCACAUACUGUACUUUAUUUAGGGCGCGUAGCGUUUGCAUUGCCUCCUAUGGAGCAGACCUUGUUAAUGCCGUCGACUGUCAGGACCAUUGGUGAGUGUUUCCUUUCAGUUUCAGUUUUAUGUGAGUGUGGUAGAAAACGUAAUUAUCCCACAGUCACUGGUUUCCAGUUUGAGGUCACAGGCCCUCCAGGGGCUCUCGUAGACGUUCCAUGGGAACCUCCAGCACGAUGAAGUCUCUUACUUUAAAGGCACUUUGAUUUAGAGUAAAUGGAUAUGAUGAUCAUUUAGUAAUGAUUACACAUCUUUACACAGCAUUAGAUGAAGCAGGGCAAUUCAGAAGAGCUGUAUAUGUAGUUAUGUACCAUGAUAUUUGUUUGUAAAGAGUAUCCUAAAAGUGAGAAGUAAAGUUUGUACUAAAAUCA